AUGUGCCUGGUUCCCCUUCACCUUCUGCCAUGAUUGGAAGUUUCCUGAGGCCUCCCCACCCAUGGAGAACUCACCCUGCUGAGGAGCAAAAGGAAAGGCAGUUUCUCACUUGGCCCCGCUUUCAGCUUAAUGUUUUCCUUCUGGCAGAGUGAACUGGGGACCUCAGUUGUUAUUUUCUUCUCAAAGAGGAAGAAGGAGUUUCAGAUGAUCCACUCUGGAUGUCAUGUUUUGAAGGAGCAAGUGUAUUACAUAAAACACGAUCACUCUGUCUCACAAAAAGACUCAAAAAGUAGAAAUAAAAGUGAGAACUCCCACUACUUAGUGAAAAUUCUCAAAGUGGGGGAUACGGAAGGAGACCGCUACUACCCCUGCUGCCCUCCUCCCUGCACCUUGCCUAGUUCACAAGACAGGAGGAGAGAAGAAGCAAAAAGUUAGAAAAAAAAACAAAAGUAAGAUAAAUAGCCAGACAACCUUGGCACCACCACCCAGCCCUAGGAGUUAAAAAAAGUAAUAAUAAUAACAUCAACCCCUGAGCUAAACUACUUGUGUUAUCUGUAAAUUCCAGGCACUAUGAAAAAAGCAUUGUAAGACUUUCUGUUCUGUUAGCUGAUGAUGCUGCCCCCAGUCACGUUUCCCACGCUUGCUUGAUGUAUCACGACUCUUUCACGUGGACCCCUUAAAGUUGUAACCCUUUAAAAAGGCCAAGAAUUUCUUUUUCGAGGAGCUCAGCUCUUAAAACGCAAGUCUGCCGACGCUCCCGGCCGAAUAAAAACCUCUUCCUUCUUGAA
This is a long non-coding RNA of Homo sapiens (human), 788 nucleotides long. RefSeq lists it as uncharacterized. Lineage: Eukaryota; Metazoa; Chordata; Mammalia; Primates; Hominidae. The record is from RefSeq and is a predicted model, not a curated record. The transcript is spliced from 2 exons.